AGUGUACAAGGUUUCCGUAGGUGAACCUGCGGAAGGAUCAUUA
RNAcentral lists this ribosomal RNA (43 nucleotides) under Diplodia sapinea. RNAcentral describes it as "partial 18S ribosomal RNA". Lineage: Eukaryota; Fungi; Ascomycota; Dothideomycetes; Botryosphaeriales; Botryosphaeriaceae. The record is from RNAcentral.